GAGCAUUUCCAUUGAAUAAUAUGUUACUGACUCACUUCUUUCCUAUGAUUUUCCAUCUGUUUGCUCUUGUCCUAGUAAGCUCUUUGAUUGCUUUUGAACAACAUAGUCAAUAGUGGAUCAUAGACUACUUGAAAUUGUGUGUCCAACUUUAGGUAAGCAAUAUUAUGAGUGGUCUUGUACUAUCCUAUUUCUUAAUGUUAUCUUUCCUUUGUUCUAGGUGAAGAAGAAGAAAGCUUCACAUGCUGGCAUGUUUGAUAUAGCAAAGACUGCAAAUAGGCCCAUGAUACAUAUUGGUGGAUAAGGUAUCACACAGUGAUAAAGUUACUUACAUAGCAGGCAACCAGAGUAGUCCUAGUGAGAAGUACCCUGAAUUGAGUAUUAUCUGAGAUCUUCAUUGAUACAAUCUCACUACAUGAAGGGUGAUAGAUUUUUCAACUAUACUUAGCCACAUAUACUGUUAAAUGUUGUUCCUUUGGAUAGAACCCAUUGUUGUUGUAUCGAGUAAUAAUGCAAAUUUGGGCUUAAAUUUUCUGAUCAUGUGUGACUCUUUCUUCAUUGGUUUAUGACUUUUGGGUCGUGUGUUAAUCUUUCUUCACUGGUUGUUUGUUUACCAGUCAACUUUAGUUUCAGCAUGGCACUGUAUUUAUUUGUUUUGUUGUAGACAUGACAAUGAAAUUUUGAAAAGGUUGGUUAUGCCCUGUUACAUCAUUGAA
Molecule: long non-coding RNA, 713 nt
Organism: Vigna unguiculata (cowpea)
Lineage: Eukaryota; Viridiplantae; Streptophyta; Magnoliopsida; Fabales; Fabaceae
Source: RefSeq, a predicted model, not a curated record